This 2625-nucleotide ribosomal RNA is filed under the name metagenome. RNAcentral describes it as "bacterial LSU rRNA". It matches the Rfam family "Bacterial large subunit ribosomal RNA". The record is from RNAcentral.
UGCCUAGACACAAUAAGGGAUAAAGGACGUAGCAUAUUGCGAAAAGUCAUGGGGAGAAAUGCUAAUCGAAGAUCCAUGAAUUUCCUAUGAGAAAACUCGGUCGAUGCGGACCUAAAACCGUAACUGGGUGAACUGAAACAUCUAAGUAGCCCAAGGAAAAGAAAUCAAACGAGAUUCCGUAAGUAGUGGCGAGCGAAAGCGGAGGUAGGCUGUUACUACAUUAAAGUUAUAUAUAGUGAGUGAAAAUGCAAGAAUACAUUAUCAGAGAGGGUGAUAAUCCCGUAGCUUCAGCUAAAUAACUUAUUAGGUAGUACAAUGAGUAAAGCGGGACAUGUGUAAUCCUGCUCGAAUAUAGGGGAACCAUCCCUCUAAGCCUAAAUAGACUUAUUGUGAUCGAUAGUGGACAAGUACCGUAAGGGAAAGGUGAAAAGAACCUUGAGAAAGAGGAGUGAAAUAGAACCUGAAAUUGAACGUCUACAAUCAAUUGAAGACCUGAGUAUUUUCUCGGGUCGACAGUGUACCUUUUGCAUCAUGGGUUAGCGAGUUUUUUGUUCAGGCUUAUUAAGCUAAAGUCGUUAGAUGGAGGCGAAGCGAAAGCGAGUUUUAAUAGAGCGUAUUGUCUGAGUAAAAAGACCCGAAACCGGGUGAUCUAACCAUGGGCAGGUUGAACACCGAGUAAUAUUGGUGGGAGGACCGAACUUACGUCUGUUGCAAAAGACGAAGAUGACCUGUGGUUAGGGGUGAAAGGCCAAUCAAACUCGGAGAUAGCUGGUUUUCCACGAAAUCUAUUGAAGUAGAGCGCGGCGUGUUUCCUUUGGGGGGUAGAGCACUUUGUGGGUUCAAGAAAUAUUUGCAUCCCAUAUAAACUCCGAAUACCUGAAGAUUAAAGCGUCGUAGACAGACUAUGGGUGCUAAGAUCCAUAGUCAAGAGGGAAACAGCCCAGAGCAUAGGCUAAGGUCCUUAAAAGAUGACUAAGUGAAAAGGAAGUCGAAACAUGAUGACGACCAGAAGUUGGGCUUAGAAGCAGCCAUACUCUAAGGAAAGCGUAGCUGCUCACUGGUUUAUGUGUUUUGGCGCCGAAAAUUUAUAGGGGCUCAAGUCAUCUACCGAAGCCAUGGUCCUCAAAUUUUAUUUUGGGGAGGUAGUGGAACGUUCUGUAUUCUGUUGAAGUCGUAUCGUAAGAUCCGGUGGAGGAAACAGAAUUGAAAAUGCUAACAUGAGUAACAUUAAAGGAAGUCAAGAAACUUCCUCGUCGAAAGUCCAAGGAUUCCUACGCAAGUAUAAACCACGUAGGGUUAGGCGGUCCCUAAGGAGAUGGCGAAAGCAUUAUCCGAUGGAAAUUUUUUUCUAACGAAAAACCCUCGAGAAUCAAGGACGAAUUUGUAACCUCGCUGUGAAUAACUGGAUUUUUGCAGUGGGGCCAGAGUUCCGGGAAAAGCUGAUUCUCAUUAAGACCGUACUCCAAACCGACACAGGUGGACUGGUUGAGAAAACUAAGACGUAUGAGUGAACUAUGCUGAAGGAACUCGACAAAAUGAUCCCGUAACUUCGGAAGAAGGGAUACCGGGUGCCUUAAGGUAUUCGGUGGCACAGAAGCGGAUGCGGCGACUGUUUAUUAAAAACACAGGACUCUGCUAAAUUGAAAGAUGAUGUAUAGGGUCUGACACCUGCCCGGUGCUGGUAGAUGAAAAAGAAGAAUAUUUAAUGUUUGGACUACAAGUCCCAGUAAACGGCAGCCAUAAAUAUAAUGGUUCUAAGGUAGCGAAAUUCCUUGUCGGGUAAAUUCCGACCUGCAUGAAUGGUGUAACGACUGUGUCAUUGUCUCCAGCAUAGCCUCAGUGAAUUUGAAUUUUGCGUGAAGAUGCGCAGUACUAGCAGCAAGACGGUAAGACCCCGUGCACCUUUACUAAAGUUUUACAUUGUUUGAAAAAAGGCGAAGUGUAGAAUAGGUGGGAGCUCAUUUUGGGCGUCCGUGAAAUACCACCCUUUGAAUUUUGGAUCUCUAAUCUUGUAGUAAUAAAUAUAUAUAAGACACAGUGUAUGAUGGUUAGUUUGGCUGGGGUGGCCGCCUCCCAAAAAGUAACGGAGGCGUACGAAGGCAGGCUCAUGAUUACUUAAGUAAUCGGUAGAGUGCAAUGGCAUAAGCUUGCUUGACUGUGAGACUGACAAGUCGAACAGGAGUCUUUACUUUGCUUUCGGGCAAAGCAAGGGCUGGUCAUAGUGAUCCGGUGAUCCCGAAUGGAAGGGUCAUCGCUCAACGGAUAAAAGGUACGCCGGGGAUAACAGGCUAAUGUCUCUUAAGAGUUCCUAUCGACGGGGACGUUUGGCACCUCGAUGUCGUCUCAUCUCAUCCUGGAGCUGAAGAAGGUUCCAAGGGUUCGGCUGUUCGCCGAUUAAAGAGGUACGUGAGAUGGGUUUAGAACGUCGUAAGACAGUUCGGUCCCUAUCUGCUGUUAGAGUUAAAUUACAAAGAAUUGAAGAAACCGGUUUAUAGUACGAGAGGACCUAAACCGACGAACCUCUAGUGUAUCGGUUGUCUUGCCAAAGGCACCGCCGAGUAGCCACGUUCGGACACAUUAACCACUGAAAGCAUCAAUGUGGGAAAUAAUUUCUAAUACUAUUCU